GGCCGGGUAGCUCAGUUGGUAGAGCACACGACUGAAAAUCGUGGUGUCGGCAGUUCAAAUCUGCCCCCGGCCACCA
RNAcentral lists this transfer RNA (76 nucleotides) under Trueperaceae bacterium. RNAcentral describes it as "tRNA-Phe". It matches the Rfam family "tRNA". From Rfam's summary of the family: Transfer RNA (tRNA) molecules are approximately 80 nucleotides in length. Lineage: Bacteria; Thermotogati; Deinococcota; Deinococci; Trueperales; Trueperaceae. The record is from RNAcentral.